This 450-nucleotide ribosomal RNA is filed under the name uncultured bacterium. RNAcentral describes it as "partial 16S ribosomal RNA". It matches the Rfam family "Bacterial small subunit ribosomal RNA", at positions 354 to 796 of the family's 1533-position model. The record is from RNAcentral.
GUGGGGAAUAUUGGACAAUGGGCGAAAGCCUGAUCCAGCCAUGCCGCGUGUGUGAAGAAGGUCUUCGGAUUGUAAAGCACUUUAAGUUGGGAGGAAGGGCAUUAACCUAAUACGUUAGUGUUUUGACGUUACCAACAGAAUAAGCACCGGCUAACUUCGUGCCAGCAGCCGCGGUAAUACGAAGGGUGCAAGCGUUAAUCGGAAUUACUGGGCGUAAAGCGCGCGUAGGUGGUUCAGCAAGUUGAAGGUGAAAUCCCCGGGCUCAACCUGGGAACUGCCUCCAAAACUACUGAGCUAGAGUACGGUAGAGGGUAGUGGAAUUUCCUGUGUAGCGGUGAAAUGCGUAGAUAUAGGAAGGAACACCAGUGGCGAAGGCGACUACCUGGACUGAUACUGACACUGAGGUGCGAAAGCGUGGGGAGCAAACAGGAUUAGAUACCCCUGUAGUCC